Molecule: ribosomal RNA, 433 nt
Filed under: uncultured bacterium
Lineage: Bacteria
Description: partial 16S ribosomal RNA
Rfam family: Bacterial small subunit ribosomal RNA
Source: RNAcentral
AACGAACGCUGGCGGCAGGCUUAACACAUGCAAGUCGAACGCACCUUUCGGGGUGAGUGGCAGACGGGUGAGUAACGCGUGGGAAUCUACCCUUCUCUACGGGAUAGCUCCGGGAAACUGGAAUUAAUACCGUAUACGUCCUGAGGGAGAAAGAUUUAUCGGGGAAGGAUGAGCCCGCGUUGGAUUAGCUAGUUGGUGGGGUAAAGGCCUACCAAGGCGACGAUCCAUAGCUGGUCUAAGAGGAUGAUCAGCCACAUUGGGACUGAGACACGGCCCAAACUCCUACGGGAGGCAGCAGUGGGGAAUAUUGGACAAUGGGCGCAAGCCUGAGCCAGCCAUGCCGCGUGAGUGAUGAAGGCCCUAGGGUUGUAAAGCUCUUUCAGUGGGGACGAUAAUGACGGUACCCACAGAAGAAGCCCCGGCUAACUUCGUG